CCAAAAUUCACUCUUUAUAAUUUGAAACUAUCAAAAAAGUCAUGGUACAAAGAGGCCACGUGUACAAAUUUGCUGUCUAAAACCAUGAGAAGCUAAUUUCCAUGCCCAAGAUAAUGUUUCAAAGAGAUAUCUUUUCAAUGUGUUUUCUUAGGAGGGCAAGAUUUCAAAGAGGAACACGAGCAAAGCAAGGCAAAUGGAUGCUUUUGGCCAACCAAGGAGAAACUCAAGUAAAACAAAACGUGAAAUAAAGAAGCACAAAAAUGUAUUCGAGGAGAAAAAGUAAAUUACAAUGUCUCUUGUUGCUAGACUUUGUUUCUUCUGCUUUUUAAUUCUUCCUUGGCACCAAUAAAGUCUCUCCAACUAUG
Molecule: non-coding RNA, 365 nt
Organism: Ictidomys tridecemlineatus (thirteen-lined ground squirrel)
Lineage: Eukaryota; Metazoa; Chordata; Mammalia; Rodentia; Sciuridae
Source: RefSeq, a predicted model, not a curated record